GAUGAACGCUGGCGGCGUGCCUAAUACAUGCAAGUCGAGCGAACAGACGAGGAGCUUGCUCCUUCGACGUUAGCGGCGGACGGGUGAGUAACACGUAGGUAACCUACCUAUAAGACUGGGAUAACUUCGGGAAACCGGAGCUAAUACCGGAUAAUAUUUCGAACCGCAUGGUUCGAUAGUGAAAGAUGGCUUUGCUAUCACUUAUAGAUGGACCUGCGCCGUAUUAGCUAGUUGGUAAGGUAACGGCUUACCAAGGCAACGAUACGUAGCCGACCUAAGAGGGUGAUCGGCCACACUGGAACUGAGACACGGUCCAGACUCCUACGGGAGGCAGCAGUAGGGAAUCUUCCGCAAUGGGCGAAAGCCUGACGGAGCAACGCCGCGUGAGUGAUGAAGGUCUUCGGAUCGUAAAACUCUGUUAUUAGGGAAGAACAAACGUGUAAGUAACUGUGCACGUCUUGACGGUACCUAAUCAGAAAGCCACGGCUAACUACGUG
This 497-nucleotide ribosomal RNA is filed under the name uncultured bacterium. RNAcentral describes it as "partial 16S ribosomal RNA". It matches the Rfam family "Bacterial small subunit ribosomal RNA", at positions 28 to 507 of the family's 1533-position model. The record is from RNAcentral.